RNAcentral lists this ribosomal RNA (566 nucleotides) under uncultured bacterium. RNAcentral's name for it is "partial 16S ribosomal RNA". It matches the Rfam family "Bacterial small subunit ribosomal RNA", at positions 355 to 912 of the family's 1533-position model. The record is from RNAcentral.
UGGGGAAUAUUGCACAAUGGGCGCAAGCCUGAUGCAGCCAUGCCGCGUGUGUGAAGAAGGCCUUCGGGUUGUAAAGCACUUUCAGCGAGGAGGAAGGUGGUGAACUUAAUACGUUCAUCAAUUGACGUUACUCGCAGAAGAAGCACCGGCUAACUCCGUGCCAGCAGCCGCGGUAAUACGGAGGGUGCAAGCGUUAAUCGGAAUUACUGGGCGUAAAGCGCACGCAGGCGGUUUGUUAAGUCAGAUGUGAAAUCCCCGGGCUCAACCUGGGAACUGCAUUUGAAACUGGCAAGCUAGAGUCUCGUAGAGGGGGGUAGAAUUCCAGGUGUAGCGGUGAAAUGCGUAGAGAUCUGGAGGAAUACCGGUGGCGAAGGCGGCCCCCUGGACGAAGACUGACGCUCAGGUGCGAAAGCGUGGGGCAGCAAACAGGAUUAGAUACCCUGGUAGUCCACGCUGUAAACGAUGUCGAUUUGGAGGUUGUGCCCUUGAGGCGUGGCUUCCGGAGCUAACGCGUUAAAUCGACCGCCNGGGGAGUACGGCCGCAAGGUUAAAACUCAAAGGAAUUG